UGGGGAAUAUUGGACAAUGGGCGAAAGCCUGAUCCAGCCAUGCCGCGUGUGUGAAGAAGGUCUUCGGAUUGUAAAGCACUUUAAGUUGGGAGGAAGGGCAGUAAAUUAAUACUUUGCUGUUUUGACGUUACCGACAGAAUAAGCACCGGCUAACUCUGUGCCAGCAGCCGCGGUAAUACAGAGGGUGCAAGCGUUAAUCGGAAUUACUGGGCGUAAAGCGCGCGUAGGUGGUUCGUUAAGUUGGAUGUGAAAUCCCCGGGCUCAACCUGGGAACUGCAUUCAAAACUGACGAGCUAGAGUAUGGUAGAGGGUGGUGGAAUUUCCUGUGUAGCGGUGAAAUGCGUAGAUAUAGGAAGGAACACCAGUGGCGAAGGCGACCACCUGGACUGAUACUGACACUGAGGUGCGAAAGCGUGGGGAGCAAAAGCAGGAUUAGA
RNAcentral lists this ribosomal RNA (437 nucleotides) under uncultured bacterium. Its description in RNAcentral is "partial 16S ribosomal RNA". It matches the Rfam family "Bacterial small subunit ribosomal RNA", at positions 355 to 782 of the family's 1533-position model. The record is from RNAcentral.